GACGAACGCUGGCGGCGUGCUUAACACAUGCCGGUCGAACGGAAAGGCCCUGCUUUUGUGGGGUGCUCGAGUGGCGAACGGGUGAGUAACACGUGAGUAACCUGCCCUUGACUUUGGGAUAACUUCAGGAAACUGGGGCUAAUACCGGAUAGGAGCUCCUGCUGCAUGGUGGGGGUUGGAAAGUUUCGGCGGUUGGGGAUGGACUCGCGGCUUAUCAGCUUGUUGGUGGGGUAGUGGCUUACCAAGGCUUUGACGGGUAGCCGGCCUGAGAGGGUGACCGGCCACAUUGGGACUGAGAUACGGCCCAGACUCCUACGGGAGGCAGCAGUGGGGAAUAUUGCACAAUGGGCGGAAGCCUGAUGCAGCAACGCCGCGUGCGGGAUGACGGCCUUCGGGUUGUAAACCGCUUUCGCCUGUGACGAAGCGUGAGUGACGGUAAUGGGUAAAGAAGCACCGGCUAACUACGUG
RNAcentral lists this ribosomal RNA (468 nucleotides) under uncultured bacterium. RNAcentral's name for it is "partial 16S ribosomal RNA". It matches the Rfam family "Bacterial small subunit ribosomal RNA", at positions 28 to 507 of the family's 1533-position model. The record is from RNAcentral.